Molecule: unclassified non-coding RNA, 253 nt
Filed under: uncultured Nitriliruptoraceae bacterium
Lineage: Bacteria; Bacillati; Actinomycetota; Nitriliruptoria; Nitriliruptorales; Nitriliruptoraceae
Description: contains 16S-23S intergenic spacer region
Rfam family: Bacterial small subunit ribosomal RNA
Source: RNAcentral
UACGUAGGGGGCGAGCGUUGUCCGGAAUCAUUGGGCGUAAAGCGCACGUAGGCGGCCCGGUAAGUCGGUUGUGAAAGCCCGAGGCUCAACCUCGGAACUGCAUUCGAUACUGUCGGGCUUGAGGAAGGUAGAGGAGAGUGGAAUUCCCGGUGUAGCGGUGGAAUGCGCAGAUAUCGGGAGGAACACCAGCGGCGAAGGCGGCUCUCUGGGCCUUUCCUGACGCUGAGGUGCGAAAGCGUGGGGAGCGAACAGG